CCACCACCACCAACAACAACAACAGUGAAUGACAAUGAUACUGUUGAUUAAAAAAAUUACAAAAAGCUCAAAAAAAAUUACCUUACCAAAGGGUGCCACAACAAUAUUGCUCCUUCCAAAGAAUCAUUUUGUAUGAUCCAGACAACAGAAAGUGGUAAUCCAAAUAAUAUUAAUCAGCUAAGAAAAAUAAAGCUUGUCUUCUCAUCUUCUAGAUUAGAUCUCAAGAAUGAAAAUGAAAGACCAAUUUCUAUUCCAUUUACAUGUAAUAUAACCAAUAUGAUAUUUCACUAUCCAAGUUCAGCAGGUUGUCCAUUUGUUCAAGUUUAAAGGCAAUCAAAACUCUGUUCUACUUAGUUCUGCAAAAAAUAAAGAUUGCAUUAAUUUCUUUCUUUAUUCAGCCAAUAUGCAGUUUCUGCUACUAAUAGCAUACAUUCGAGUACAGUGAAUAGUUUGUUGCUGAAAUUAUAAUUACAGGAUAUAUGGCUUGUGGUUUUUAUUUCUAUCUAUUUGUGUAUAUAUAUAUGUUACAAACACAUGCAGGAAUCAAUUUGCAAUUUUCCUUGUUUGCUAAUUUGGAUAUGGAUAUGUCUACCUGAAAUGCCUCAUAUCUUAGAGGCAUCAGAAGUAACUCGGCUCAAGGCAAUAGCAGUCUUUGAUCCAGAUGGACGACCUAAAUGCUUGCUUAUAAAAUCCCCAGCAGAGAGGAGUUUUGGUAGAUCGACAUUGGUUUUCACCCCAAGCCCAUUAAGCAUGUAGACAACGUCUUCAGUGGCAACAUUGCCUGACGCUCCCUUAGCAUAUGGGCACCCACCUAAACCAGCAAUAGAUGAGUCCACUGUGCUAAUCCCCAUCUGUUAAAAGCAAAAAUAUUGUUAUUGAGAUCGAUACAUUUGCCAAUAGGAAAUAAAUAAAAACAAUAAAGAUGCAUUUGCGAAAUUUGCAUUGAGCAUGAAUACAGAAAAUAUAAAAUUUUCAGCUCUAAUGUAUUCAUUUCUGCUAAAUACUGGAUAUUUAGCAUUCCAUCAGGAGAUAACUAUAGACUAAUCCAAAUUAAGCACAGCAUAUUGCAAGAGGUGGCUGAAAUUAGAUAUAGCUUAAUAAGCAAUGCAUAUAAAUACUCCAUCAGCAUAUUGCACAGGCUAUUUAUCAUAAUCCAAAUCCAACGCAUACCUGGAGGGAAACCAAAAUAUUUGGAAGAGAUUGCCCAUAUGUAUCAUGAAAGUGGACAGCAAGCUUCUUAACAGGAACAACAGCCAUUACAGCUUCAAGCAUGGGAAUUACAGUCCCACAUGUACCAACACCAAUUGUAUCACCGAGAGAAAUUUCAAAGCAAUCCAUGUCAUAAAGUUCCUUUGCCACAUAUGCCACUUUUGAAGGAGAAAUUGCUCCCUCCACAGGACAUCCAACAACGCAUGAUACAUACCCACGAACAGGAAUUCCAAGCUCUUUAGCAGCACGAGUAACAGCACGAUAACGAGCAAGACUCUCUUCAAUGCUACAAUUUAUGUUUGACUUCGAAAAUGACUCAGAAGCUGAUGCAAAAACUGCUACUUCCUUAGCACCAGCAGCAACAGCUGCUUCAAAUCCUUUUAGAUUAGGUGUCAGAACAGGCAAUCUAGAGCCCUCCAAACUUUGAACUGCUUUCAUCACAUCUCUUGCAUCUGCUAACUGAGGAACCCAUUUAGGUGAUACAAAACUUGUAGCCUCAACAACUGGCAACCCAGAAGAGACUAGUCUGCGAAUCAAUUCAAUCUUUACAUCUGUAGGUACAAUAUUUUUCUCAUUUUGUAGUCCAUCUCUUGGACCAACUUCUACUAUCUUCACAAACUUUGGUAUGCCCUUCCAAAACUUAUUUGUUAAAUCCCGCGUGUCGUUGUCAUUGGACUUGGAGUUGUAUUGACGAUCUGGAAAGCACCGUGAGUCCCAAACUGUUCCACACAGUGCGUGGUUCCUGCCUAAGCUCAUGGUUCUUUGACCAAAGGAAUUACCAUGGGACAAAUCCCUGGUAUGUCUUUUCCAAGGAAAUGUCUCUCUUGUAUACUCCUCAUAAUCUUCCUCGCAACUGUUGGAUGAGCUGCAACUCCUUCCUUCAAUCCAGCAACUUCCCAUUCCCAUUUCAUCAGCACUGGGACGACAAGCACCAGAUGAGAACCUUUGAAUCAUGUCAACAGUACUCAUGCUUGGCAACUUGUCAAAGCCAAGUGGCUCUUCCAAACUCGACAUUUCUGAAUUGAAGGAAAAAGCUUGAAAGGAAAGAGUUAGGUUUCAGAGAUUAAUCUGUGGUUUAGCUAAAAAAUUCAGUCAUUCCUUGGGGUUAGAUGAAAAGAAAGAGGAAGAAGAGAAGGUUAGACAACGUGAAGAAGGAGCCGC
Molecule: unclassified non-coding RNA, 2370 nt
Filed under: Hevea brasiliensis (rubber tree)
Lineage: Eukaryota; Viridiplantae; Streptophyta; Magnoliopsida; Malpighiales; Euphorbiaceae
Source: RNAcentral